Long non-coding RNA from Pseudophryne corroboree (corroboree frog), 866 nucleotides. RefSeq lists it as uncharacterized. NCBI's taxonomy places the organism in Eukaryota, Metazoa, Chordata, Amphibia, Anura, Myobatrachidae. The record is from RefSeq and is a predicted model, not a curated record. The transcript has 3 exons.
GUAAUGAAAAGUGGGCCGAGCAUUGCGGCAGGCAGACGGUGACAUGAGCGGCCCGGGCCCUCUCCUCUCUGUUAGAUGGUGGGUCAGAUCAUGGUCACAGCUACUGCUGAUACUACAGGGAGUUCUCAUCUGCUGAGCUCCCUGCACAUGGGACUGAGCUCCACCGGCUUCUUACAGUACUGUGGCCAACAGUCUCCUCUUUACAGCACUGGGAUACAUAGCGAUGGGGCGCUUGUUGCCGCAUCGCUAUGGAAUCCAAAGCAGCUCCGUCGUUGUGAGCCGGCGGACGUCACUUCCGGCGUGACAUCAGCGUUGGGACCGGAAGUGGGGGGACAAACGCCGGGACACACGAUGGGAAGCGGCAAACGUGACCUGGGGACCUACAACUGAGGGGCUUGUGGAUCCUCACUUUGGGGGCUGGCCAAUAGAACUAGUGGUGGCACGGCCGACACUGCGGAGAUGCGGCGUUGGGGUGGUGAUGCUGGUGCUGGAGCCUCAAGACUGCGUCUCUUGGGUGGCCUUGUUGCCACACUAACCGAGCCCUGUGAUGGGCGCCUUAGUGUAGGUGGAUUUGCCGAAGAAGAACCUGUGUAAAUAAGAUAAUCAUUAACAUUUUGUGUUUCUAUGUGUUUGCAGAAUAUGUGUAUACAGUUAAAUCUUACCGGCAUUGCCACCAUCUGCAUCGCUUGGCAGUGUUGGCUGUGGUCUUGCUGUGCUGCUUCUCUGGCGUACUGUAGAAAUAUGAAGAAUGUCCUUAUGAACAUACUAUUUUGGUGAUAUUUUUUCCCAAAUUCCUCAUUGUGAUGUUAACAUAUGUGGUACCUGCUGAGAAUUAAACUAAACGAUGCUUAUGCUUUUCUGCCUGA